Molecule: ribosomal RNA, 231 nt
Filed under: uncultured bacterium
Lineage: Bacteria
Description: partial 16S ribosomal RNA
Rfam family: Bacterial small subunit ribosomal RNA
Source: RNAcentral
CCUAGCCUUGGAGUGGGGAAUAACAGCUGGAAACAGCUGCUAAUACCGCAUGAUGCAGUUGGGUCGCAUGGCUCUGACUGCCAAAGAUUUAUCGCUCUGAGAUGGACUCGCGUCUGAUUAGCUAGUUGGCGGGGUAACGGCCCACCAAGGCGACGAUCAGUAGCCGGACUGAGAGGUUGGCCGGCCACAUUGGGACUGAGACACGGCCCAGACUCCUACGGGAGGCAGCAG